RNAcentral lists this ribosomal RNA (440 nucleotides) under uncultured bacterium. RNAcentral describes it as "partial 16S ribosomal RNA". It matches the Rfam family "Bacterial small subunit ribosomal RNA", at positions 338 to 795 of the family's 1533-position model. The record is from RNAcentral.
CCUACGGGAGACAGCAGUGGGGAAUAUUGCACAAUGGGGGAAACCCUGAUGCAGCGACGCCGCGUGAGUGAAGAAGUAAUUCGGUAUGUAAAGCUCUAUCAGCAGGGAAGAAAAUGACGGUACCUGAGUAAGAAGCCCCGGCGAACUACGUGCCAGCAGCCGCGGUAAUACGUAGGGGGCAAGCGUUAUCCGGAUUUACUGGGUGUAAAGGGAGCGUAGACGGCGGUGCAAGUCUGGAGUGAAAGGCGGGGGCUCAACCCCCGGACUGCUCUGGAAACUGUACGGCUGGAGUGCAGGAGAGGUAAGUGGAAUUCCUAGUGUAGCGGUGAAAUGCGUAGAUAUUAGGAGGAACACCAGUGGCGAAGGCGGCUUACUGGACUGUAACUGACGUUGAGGCUCGAAAGCGUGGGGAGCAAACAGGAUUAGAUACCCCUGUAGUC